Molecule: long non-coding RNA, 619 nt
Organism: Thunnus maccoyii (southern bluefin tuna)
Lineage: Eukaryota; Metazoa; Chordata; Actinopteri; Scombriformes; Scombridae
Exons: 6
Source: RefSeq, a predicted model, not a curated record
CGGGUAAUUCUCCUCCCACCAGGCAUGCACGGAGGACAGAUGAGCAAGUCAGCCACAGAAAACCAGCGAAGAAGAAACGACAGGUGUACGGUUACAGGAAUUUUGAUGACCCCUGCAGGGUAGCUGACAACACAUCAGGAGGAAAGAACAUACAGGGCAGUUUGAGGCAAGUCUCCUCCGGGUGGUAGAACCACUUGACCCUGACCACCAUGCUGGAGCUCCACGACUCCCAGAGGCUCUCCACUCUGCCCACGUAGGGCAGCUGAGGCCGGCCAGAUAACAGGUCUCUGCAUCUGUCUGCCCGAGGGCGGGGCUGAGCUCCACACACACCCACACACAGAGCAGAGAGGCCACAGCGGACAGGAUAGAGCGUGCGCUUCAGCUGCAUUCACACCAAAUCUGGCAACGGGGCACCUUCCCACAGGGUUGUGUGCAGGUGUGCAGAGCGCGCUCGAUCACCGCUACUCUCGUCUCACUCUGCUCUCAGCUUGUUCUGAAGUCGGUGAGCCAGGGAGGAAGGGUUAACUUUGAAUGAAUGUUUUACCUGUGUGGGGUUACCGGACCAUUUCCACAGCUGGCGUCCAGGCAGCAGGGGAGCCAUGUUGUGCAGAGGCUCAGG